AUACGGAGGGUGCAAGCGUUAUCCGGAUUUAUUGGGUUUAAAGGGUGCGUAGGCGGUUUGAUAAGUCAGCGGUGAAAUAUUUCAGCUUAACUGGAAGGGUGCCGUUGAUACUGUCGAGCUUGAAUUUAGUUGCUGUGGGCGGAAUGUGUGGUGUAGCGGUGAAAUGCAUAGAUAUCACACAGAAUAGCGAUUGCGAAGGCAGCUCACAAAGCUAAUAUUGACGCUGAUGCACGAAAGUGUGGGGAUCAAACAGGAUUAGAUACCCUGGUAGUCCACACUGUAAACGAUGAUAACUCGCUGUCGGCGAUACAUAGUCGGUGGCCAAGCGAAAGCGAUAAGUUAUCCACCUGGGGAGUACGACCGCAAGGUUGAAACUCAAAGGAAUUGACGGGG
RNAcentral lists this ribosomal RNA (393 nucleotides) under uncultured bacterium. RNAcentral describes it as "partial 16S ribosomal RNA". It matches the Rfam family "Bacterial small subunit ribosomal RNA", at positions 523 to 918 of the family's 1533-position model. The record is from RNAcentral.